This is a long non-coding RNA of Onychostoma macrolepis, 777 nucleotides long. RefSeq lists it as uncharacterized. The record is from RefSeq and is a predicted model, not a curated record. NCBI's taxonomy places the organism in Eukaryota, Metazoa, Chordata, Actinopteri, Cypriniformes, Cyprinidae. The transcript has 4 exons.
UAACAAUCCAGAGAAAAGAAAAAACACUUACUAGAAUGAGCUUGAAACCAAAGUUUCUCAAUCUGGACUCUGAACAAUUUGGGUGAACCAAGGGAGAAGAACCAUGCUUCCCCUUCCCCAAACAAUACUCACUUCUUCUACCCUCAUACCUGGCUAUAUACACGGGAGAAUGACACCUAGAGCCCCCUCUAGUGCCCAGUAGUGGCAUAACACCACAAAGAAAAACAGGAACCAAACUCUGGGUGGUUACAACAUGAAUGUUUUGUCAUUGAUUUUUCAAUGAUAGUGGAGAUGUGGCACUGUGCAUCAAUUUCGAGAGCACCAAACUUCAGCUGGACAAGUUUGAAUAUUCCACUCAGCAGUUCUGUCCUCUGUAUGUAGGCAUGUGCAUUCAGACCCUUUGUGCUGAUGGUUUUCACUAGCUGGAGGAGGUUGUUGGAGUCCUCACCACAAGCAAAAUUUGCAAAGUUCCACUUUCAGUAUUUUCCCCCUCACAGAUGGAUCUGCAUGGAGCCAUUCAGGACAAGGGUUGAGAACAAAUGCGCAUGUUGCCUUCAAUGAAGGACAGAUGUCGAGCAAUGAAUCGAUCCACCCGAAUCGGCAAGUUUUCAUGCUUGAAAAGGCCAUGUUUAAUGUUUUUGAACUCUGCUUCAACAUUGGCUGAACUUGCGAUGAUGUUGGUGCUUCGGAAGUGAGGGAUCAUUACCCCUGUCCAAAGUGGUCCUCACCCUCUACAUCUGGAAUGAUGACACACUCUUCUGCAAUUCGGCCUUUCAG